This 497-nucleotide ribosomal RNA is filed under the name uncultured bacterium. Its description in RNAcentral is "partial 16S ribosomal RNA". It matches the Rfam family "Bacterial small subunit ribosomal RNA", at positions 28 to 507 of the family's 1533-position model. The record is from RNAcentral.
GAUGAACGCUGGCGGCGUGCCUAAUACAUGCAAGUCGAGCGAACGGACGAGAAGCUUGCUUCUCUGAUGUUAGCGGCGGACGGGUGAGUAACACGUGGAUAACCUACCUAUAAGACUGGGAUAACUUCGGGAAACCGGAGCUAAUACCGGAUAAUAUUAUGAACCGCAUGGUUCAAAAGUGAAAGACGGUCUUGCUGUCACUUAUAGAUGGUUCCGCGCUGCAUUAGCUAGUUGGUAAGGUAACGGCUUACCAAGGCAACGAUGCAUAGCCGACCUGAGAGGGUGAUCGGCCACACUGGAACUGAGACACGGUCCAGACUCCUACGGGAGGCAGCAGUAGGGAAUCUUCCGCAAUGGGCGAAAGCCUGACGGAGCAACGCCGCGUGAGUGAUGAAGGUCUUCGGAUCGUAAAACUCUGUUAUUAGGGAAGAACAUAUGUGUAAGUAACUGUGCACAUCUUGACGGUACCUAAUCAGAAAGCCACGGCUAACUACGUG